Long non-coding RNA from Passer domesticus (house sparrow), 1024 nucleotides. RefSeq lists it as uncharacterized. The transcript has 3 exons. The record is from RefSeq and is a predicted model, not a curated record. Lineage: Eukaryota; Metazoa; Chordata; Aves; Passeriformes; Passeridae.
UGUCAGUGGCCAGGGCUGUGCACUGUGACAUUGCACUGAUCCAUGAGGAGAAUGUGCCAUGACUGAAGGAAAUCUCUGGAUGCUCGGCUACAGCUGCUGUGCAGCUCCUGGGAGCUCUGGACAAAUAGCAAGAGACGUGGCUCUAAUUGCACAUCAGCAGAGCUGAUCCCUCAAGGAUAUUGCCUGGCUAAGGGAAAGGAGCAGGACAUUCUCAGGAGUCAAACUGCAUGGCCAGGGAGGAGGACACCCCUUUGGUAUUUGCACUUUGCUGGAAUCCAGCUGUGUGAGUUUGGUUUCAAGGUCCUGCUCCUUCCUUUGAGGACACACGUGCCAGUCCCUGGGUGUGGGGAAGACAGCAAAGGCAUCACUGGGACAGAAAACAAAAGAUUGCCUCCAGCCCCUCCCUGGGAGAGGUUUCAAAGCAGUUAACAAGGGAGGGUGAUACCACCAUCAGUGUUUGACAGGGGAAUUGAGGUGGGAGUGUUUGGAGUGGCAAAGCCAGACAGAUUUUGGUGGCUGAGCCUGAGGCUUGGUCCUGGCCCUGCAGUCUGUGCCCUUGCAUCUUCCUUUCUGACACCCCACUCACAAAAGACCCUGGUGGUCCUGAGCAGCACCAAGAGGAAGAAAGGGAAUCAUCAGAUGCUCCAGGGCAGACAUCCCAUCCUGGAUGUGUUUAACUGCAAUCCCAGAGGAGUCCUGCACGCUGUGGUCAUCUGGGCAGCUCUGACCACAUGCCCAGCUCCAGGAGGUGCUGCCCAGAGCCUCCCGUGGGCUUCACUCACUGGGUAAAGAAAAGAUCUCUGUGCACAAGAGCUUUGUGCAAUAAAAGACAUGACAAAGGUCUCAUAUCCAACCCUCAGCCUCUGAGUGGGCUCCUCACCUCUGACAAAGGCUUAGGGAGGUAUUUAAGGGGGACAAGAGCACCUGUAAGAGGAGAGCCUUCAUUCCCCAAUUCUUCAGCAGACUGAAGCUAAACUGAAGGAUGGUUUGAGUUUAUUUUAAAAAAUCCCAAGACUCUCUUUUC